Molecule: long non-coding RNA, 215 nt
Filed under: Elaeis guineensis (African oil palm)
Lineage: Eukaryota; Viridiplantae; Streptophyta; Magnoliopsida; Arecales; Arecaceae
Description: long non-coding RNA (EGUI_LNC044331)
Source: RNAcentral
CGAUAAUUCGACCUAUCUGGACGUCAGAAAUCAUUGCUAGAUGGUAUCUCGAUUAGUGCAGAAAUCGGUUCCUAUGCUAUCAGCUUAGUGUUUGAACCUAUGGAGUCACGCACAUAAGUUAGACACCGUAGAAAAGUAUUGGCCUAUAUUUACAUAUCCAAUUUGGAAGUAUUUGACUUGAUUAAACAUAUAAGCUAACUUGAUUGAGAAUUGAG